Molecule: ribosomal RNA, 500 nt
Filed under: uncultured bacterium
Lineage: Bacteria
Description: partial 16S ribosomal RNA
Rfam family: Bacterial small subunit ribosomal RNA
Source: RNAcentral
AUUGAACGCUGGCGGCAUGCCUUACACAUGCAAGUCGAACGGCAGCGCGGACUUCGGUCUGGCGGCGAGUGGCGAACGGGUGAGUAAUAUAUCGGAACGUGCCCUGGAGUGGGGGAUAACUAGUCGAAAGACUGGCUAAUACCGCAUACGAUCUGCGGAUGAAAGGGGGGGAUCGCAAGACCUCAUGCUCGUGGAGCGGCCGAUAUCUGAUUAGCUAGUUGGUGGGGUAAGAGCCCACCAAGGCAACGAUCAGUAGCUGGUCUGAGAGGACGACCAGCCACACUGGGACUGAGACACGGCCCAGACUCCUACGGGAGUCAGCAGUGGGGAAUUUUGGACAAUGGGGGCAACCCUGAUCCAGCAAUGCCGCGUGUGUGAAGAAGGCCUUCGGGUUGUAAAGCACUUUUGUCCGGAACGAAACGGUGAAGGUUAAUACCCUUUGCUACUGACGGUACUGGAAGAAUAAGCACCGGCUAACUACGUGCCAGCCGCCGCGGUAA